UACGAUAGUAGGUUAAUGGUAGACCCUGGCACUUCCAAUGCUACUGUGCGUGUUCGAUUCACGUCUAUCGUAU
RNAcentral lists this transfer RNA (73 nucleotides) under Chlamydia trachomatis. Its description in RNAcentral is "tRNA-Gly(tcc)". It matches the Rfam family "tRNA". Rfam says of the family: Transfer RNA (tRNA) molecules are approximately 80 nucleotides in length. Their secondary structure includes four short double-helical elements and three loops (D, anti-codon, and T loops). The record is from RNAcentral. Lineage: Bacteria; Pseudomonadati; Chlamydiota; Chlamydiia; Chlamydiales; Chlamydiaceae. RNAcentral also lists the same sequence under 1 other name.